AUAUCUUUCUCGGCCUUUUGGCUAAGAUAGGUGUAGUAUCUGUUCUUAUCAGUUUAAUAUCUAAUAUGUGGACCAUCGUUCCACACAAUAUUAGCUCAAUUUUUAAGGGGGGGGGGUAGUCUGUUAAGGUAGCUUGCUAGCUGGGCUUUUGCAUGUUGCCCAUGUGCUGCUCUACAGCACAGGCCUGGUGCACCCCAC
Molecule: small nuclear RNA, 198 nt
Filed under: Solanum tuberosum (potato)
Lineage: Eukaryota; Viridiplantae; Streptophyta; Magnoliopsida; Solanales; Solanaceae
Description: snRNA U2
Rfam family: U2 spliceosomal RNA
About the family: U2 is a small nuclear RNA (snRNA) component of the spliceosome (involved in pre-mRNA splicing). Complementary binding between U2 snRNA (in an area lying towards the 5' end but 3' to hairpin I) and the branchpoint sequence (BPS) of the intron results the bulging out of an unpaired adenosine, on the BPS, which initiates a nucleophilic attack at the intronic 5' splice site, thus starting the first of two transesterification reactions that mediate splicing.
Source: Rfam by way of RNAcentral